CCUACGGGUGGCAGCAGUGGGGAAUAUUGCUCAAUGGGGGAAACCCUGAAGCAGCGACGCCGCGUGAAGGAUGAAGGAUCUAGGGUUGUUAAACCCUUUUUUUAGGGAAGAUAAUGACGGUACCUGACGAAUAAGCUCCGGCUAACUCCGUGCCAGCAGCCGCGGUUAUACGGAGGGUGCGAGCGUUAUACGGAUUUACUGGGCGUAAAGGGGGCGUAGGCGGGGUAAUAAGUCAGAGGUGAAAUCCUGUGGCUUAACUACAGAACUGCCGUUGAAACUGUUUGACUGGAGUGUAGGAGAGGUAGGCGGAAUUCGUGGUGUAGCGGUGAAAUGCGUAGAUAUCACGAAGAACACCGAUUGCGAAGGCAGCUUACUGGACUAUAACUGACGCUGAGGCACGAAAGCGUGGGGAGCAAACAGGAUUAGAUACCCCUGUAGUC
RNAcentral lists this ribosomal RNA (440 nucleotides) under uncultured bacterium. RNAcentral describes it as "partial 16S ribosomal RNA". It matches the Rfam family "Bacterial small subunit ribosomal RNA", at positions 338 to 795 of the family's 1533-position model. The record is from RNAcentral.